UACAGAGACUGCAAGCGUUAUUCGGAUUCACUGGGCGUAAAGGGUGCGCAGGUGGCCGUGUGUGUGAGGCGUGAAAGCCCGGGGCUUAACCUCGGAAUUGCAUUCAAUACUGCUUCGCUUGAGUACUGGAGAGGAGGCUGGAAUUUACGGUGUAGCAGUGAAAUGCGUAGAUAUCGUAAGGAAGGCCGGUGGCGAAAGCGAGCCUCUGGACAGUUACUGACGCUGAUGCACGAAGGCCAGGGGAGCAAACGGG
Molecule: ribosomal RNA, 253 nt
Filed under: uncultured bacterium
Lineage: Bacteria
Description: partial 16S ribosomal RNA
Rfam family: Bacterial small subunit ribosomal RNA
Source: RNAcentral